Molecule: ribosomal RNA, 441 nt
Filed under: uncultured bacterium
Lineage: Bacteria
Description: partial 16S ribosomal RNA
Rfam family: Bacterial small subunit ribosomal RNA
Source: RNAcentral
CCUACGGGGGGCAGCAGUGGGGAAUAUUGCACAAUGGGGGAAACCCUGAUGCAGCGACGUCGCGUGAGUGAAGAAGUAUCUCGGUAUGUAAAGCUCUAUCAGCAGGGAAGUAGAAAGACGGUACCUGACUUAGAAGCCUCGGCUUACUACGUGCCAGCAGCCGCGGUAAUACGUAGGGGGCAAGCGUUAUCCGGAUUUACUGGGUGUAUAGGGAGCGUAGACGGCUGUGCAAGUCUGAAGUGAAAGCCCAGGGCUCAACCCUGGGAUUGCUGUUGAAACUGGGGAGGUAGAGUGCUGGAGAGGUAAGUGGAAUGCCUAGUGUAGCGGUGAAAUGCGUAGAUAUUAGGAAGAACACCAGUGGCGAAGGCAGCUUACUGGACAGUAACUGACGUUGAGGCUCGAAAGCGUGGGGAGCAAACAGGAUUAGAUACCCCGGUAGUC